Long non-coding RNA from Rhincodon typus (whale shark), 312 nucleotides. RefSeq lists it as uncharacterized. Lineage: Eukaryota; Metazoa; Chordata; Chondrichthyes; Orectolobiformes; Rhincodontidae. The transcript is spliced from 3 exons. The record is from RefSeq and is a predicted model, not a curated record.
UCCGGUCAUCAGGUUCGGUUGCGGCAGCGGGCAGCCAUGGAGACGGCGCAAUUCUUUAGCUGAUCCGAUGCUGCCAGACCUGCUGACGUUUCCAGUCAUUUCUAUCUUUGUCGUAGGUGUAUGUAUGCUUCUAAUGUUUCACUCCACAAACAUCCAGCCGACCAUCCUGUUGAAUUCCCAAAGGGGGUUUCAGUAAACAAUUCCAUUGGAGCCUUGUGAUUCAGCAAAUACUCCCCACCCCAGCAAGAAUUCAUUGCCAGGGGCAACAAGAUGAGGAAGCCGGAUGGUGGGAAACUUCUAACAACCAGGCAA